UAACCCCGGAGNGUAAAGUUGGGGGAAAAAAAUUCCAUUCUUAUGGGCCNUUAAGCCCCAGGGGGAAACAAAACGGGUAACCAUGGGGUGGGUACCAAGGGUUCGCAAAACCCGCGGAGGGGGGAGCCAAUCCCAGAAAGCCAUCCUCAGUUCGGGAUUGGAAGUCUGCAAACUCGAACUCCAUGAAGUUGGAAUCGCUAGUAAUCGCGGAUCAGCACGCCGCGGUGAAUACGUUCCCGGGCCUUGUACACACCGCCCGUGAAUCACUAGUGAAUUC
RNAcentral lists this ribosomal RNA (277 nucleotides) under uncultured bacterium. RNAcentral's name for it is "partial 16S ribosomal RNA". It matches the Rfam family "Bacterial small subunit ribosomal RNA", at positions 1152 to 1413 of the family's 1533-position model. The record is from RNAcentral.